UGGCGAACGGGUGAGUAACACGUGAGCAACCUGCCCUUGGCUCUGGGAUAGCCUCCGGAAACGGGGAUUAAUACCGGACAUGACCUUCUCCUGCAUGGGGGAGGGUGGAAAGUUUUUCGGCCAGGGAGGGGCUCGCGGCCUAUCAGCUUGUUGGGGGGGUAACGGCCCACCAAGGCGACGACGGGUAGCCGGCCUGAGAGGGCGACCGGCCACACUGGGACUGAGACACGGCCCAGACUCCUACGGGAGGCAGCAGUGGGGAAUAUUGCACAAUGGGGGAAACCCUGAUGCAGCGACGCCGCGUGCGGGAUGAAGGCCUUCGGGUUGUAAACCGCUUUCAGCAGGGGCGAAUUCAGACGGUACCUGCAGAAGAAGCGCCGGCUAACUACGUGCCAGCAGCCGCGGUAAUACGUAGGGCGCGAGCGUUGUCCGGAAUUAUUGGGCGUAAAGAGCUCGUAGGCGGCCUGUUGCGUCCGCUGUGAAAUCCCAGGGCUUAACCCUGGGCCUGCAGUGGAUACGGGCAGGCUGGAGGCAGGCAGGGGAGAACGGAAUUCCCGGUGUAGCGGUGAAAUGCGCAGAUAUCGGGAGGAACACCGGUGGCGAAGGCGGUUCUCUGGGCCUGUUCUGACGCUGAG
This 635-nucleotide ribosomal RNA is filed under the name Actinocorallia sp. Its description in RNAcentral is "bacterial SSU rRNA". It matches the Rfam family "Bacterial small subunit ribosomal RNA", at positions 96 to 750 of the family's 1533-position model. Lineage: Bacteria; Bacillati; Actinomycetota; Actinomycetes; Streptosporangiales; Thermomonosporaceae. The record is from RNAcentral.